AUUGAACGCUGGCGGCAGGCCUAACACAUGCAAGUCGAGCGGAUGAAGGGAGCUUGCUCCUGGAUUCAGCGGCGGACGGGUGAGUAAUGCCCAGGAAUCUGCCUGGUAGUGGGGGAUAACGUCCGGAAACGGGCGCUAAUACCGCAUACGUCCAGAGGGAGAAAGUGGGGGAUCUUCGGACCUCACGCUAUCAGAUGAGCCUAGGUCGGAUUAGCUAGUUGGUGGGGUAAAGGCCUACCAAGGCGACGAUCCGUAACUGGUCUGAGAGGAUGAUCAGUCACACUGGAACUGAGACACGGUCCAGACUCCUACGGGAGGCAGCAGUGGGGAAUAUUGGACAAUGGGCGAAAGCCUGAUCCAGCCAUGCCGCGUGUGUGAAGAAGGUCUUCGGAUUGUAAAGCACUUUAAGUUGGGAGGAAGGGCAGUAAGUUAAUACCUUGCUGUUUUGACGUUACCAACAGAAUAAGCACCGGCUAACUUCGUG
Molecule: ribosomal RNA, 484 nt
Filed under: uncultured bacterium
Lineage: Bacteria
Description: partial 16S ribosomal RNA
Rfam family: Bacterial small subunit ribosomal RNA
Source: RNAcentral